GUGCUAUUCCAGCCCCCCGCCGCCGCCGCCGCUUCCCUCUUUCUCUCCCCCCACUCCCGUUUUCGCCUUUCAUCCCAAUUUGCAGCCGGCGCUGUCUUCGCGAAAACUCCUCCCGCUGCACCUGAAAGAGGCUCCUAUUGACAAACUUGGCUGGAACGAGGAUUUCCCCCCCUUUCUAUAAAAAAGACUCGCUGCCACGAAAAGGAGGAGGGGGCAGCGGAAGGCACCGGAGAGAAUUUAAAGGACAGUUUUCCCUCCCUUUGUUGAAUGAGAAGAACGGGGCCGGAUCAUCAUGAGCACCAGCACAGUUCCUUUCCAGCAAAACCCGUACAACCCAGGGGGCCGUCCCACCAUCAUCCACUGUUAUCGCUGCGGAGAUACGUGUAAAGGGGAGGUGGUGCGUGUCCAGAGCAAUCACUUCCACAUCAGAUGCUUCACCUGCCAAGUGUGUGGCUGUGACCUAGCUCAGUCCGGCUUCUUCUUUAAAAACGGGGAAUAUAUCUGCACCCAUGACUACCAGAAGCUCUAUGGCACACGUUGCGAUAGCUGCCAAGACUUCAUCACGGGAGAGGUGAUCUCAGCUUUGGGCCGGACCUACCACCCAAAGUGCUUUGUCUGCAGCAUGUGCAGGAAGCCAUUCCCCAUUGGAGACAAAGUCACAUUCAGUGGCAAGGACUGCGUUUGCCAAACCUGCUCCCAUUCACUGAUCAGCAACAAACCCAUCAAGAUUCAUGGACCAAGCCAAUGUGCAGGUUGCAAGGAGGAGAUCAAGCAAGGUCAGUCUCUCCUGGCCCUGGAGAAACAGUGGCAUGUCAGCUGCUUCAAGUGCCAAACCUGUGGAAUCGUCCUGACUGGAGAAUACAUCAGCAAGGAUGGCAUUCCAUACUGUGAAUCUGACUACCAUGCCCAAUUUGGCAUUAAAUGUGAGACCUGCAACCGAUACAUCAGUGGCAGAGUCCUGGAGGCAGGAGGGAAGCAUUAUCACCCCACUUGUGCCAGAUGUGUGCGUUGUCACCAGAUGUUCACAGAAGGGGAAGAGAUGUACCUCACAGGUUCAGAAGUGUGGCAUCCUAUCUGCAAACAAGCAGCACGAGCAGAAAAAAAGUUAAAGCACAGAAGAACUUCAGAAACAUCCAUCUCCCCACCUGGCUCAAGCAUUGGUUCCCCCAACAGAGUCAUCUGUGCUAAAGUGGAUAAUGAGAUCCUUAAUUACAAAGACCUGGCCGCUCUUCCCAAGAUUAAAGCCAUCUACGAGGUGCAGCGCCCUGACCUCAUUUCCUAUGAGCCCUAUCACAGAUACACAUCGGACGAGACGCUGGAGAGAUAUAGCUAUGGGGAGUCUCUUGGAACACUCUCUCCGUAUUCUCAGGAUAUUUAUGAAAGCAUGGACAUCCGACAGAGGCGAGCCUCCAGCCCCGGCUACAUCGACUCCCCCACCUACAGCCGCCAAGGCAUGUCCCCCACCAUCCCACGCUCACCGCACCAUUAUUAUCGCUCAGGAACAGAGAGUGGGCGCAGCUCCCCCUACUAUAGCCAGUUAGAUGUGAGGUCUUCUACACCAACCUCAUACCAAGCUCCUAAGCAUUUCCACAUUCCAGCUGCUGCAGAGAGUAACAUCUACCGGAAACCCCCCAUCUAUAAAAGACACGAUACCCUAUCUGCAGCCACAAAAAGCAAAACCAGUGAGGAUAUUGCCCAGAGCUCCAAAUAUAGCCCAGCCUACUCUCCAGAUCCAUAUUACCACUCUGAAACAGAAUACUGGACCUUUCAAGGCUCACCUAAAGCACCACGAGUUCGGAGGUUCUCAUCAGGAGGAGAAGAAGAUGGGUUUGAUCGAGGGAUGCAUAAGCUCCAGACUGGCAUUGGCAGAUUGAUACUUAAGGAAGAAAUGAAGGCCCGAUCCAAUUCCUACGCUGACCCCUGGACUCCUCCUCGCAGCUCGGCAGGCAGUAGAGAAGCUCUUCACACGGCCGGCUACGAAAGCUCCUUAAAUGGCUCACCCCGUUCACAUUACCUGGCUGACAGUGAUCCCCUCAUUUCAAAAUCUGCCUCUCUUCCUGCUUACAGAAGGAAUGGGCUGCACAGGCCUCCCAGCGCUGAACUCUUCCACUACGACAGCACGAAUGCCGUUAACUGGGGGAUGCGAGAAUACAAGGUAACACUUUCCGAGGAAUCCUGUAGAAUUCUAGAACCUUAGGUCCUUUUGCCACCUGAAAUGCUGAUCUGCAGGAUCUGCAGGAUCUGGCCAGAAGAAAGCCUCCUCUUCCCCUGGGUGCUCCUGGCCUGCAGUGCUCUUGAGUGCUCCUUCUACCUGGACAAAGGUCUCCUCAGGGUCCUUCAAGUGGGAUUCAAGCACUUGAUUGGGAGUUCUUGUGCAACAAGCCUGCUUCCCUAAAAGGCCAGAGUUUUUGCUUUGUGCUGUGUGCGUCAUCUUGUGUUGAAGUUUUGCUAUUCAGGUGUAUAUUGCCAAGUUAGGGUCACUCCUAGCAUGCUCAGUGGAUGGCAACCUGCAUUCAGAUAAAGGUUUGUCAUAGGUUUAAAACAAAAACAACUUGUGGGCACAAGUUUCUUCCAGGCAGGCUGUCUCUACCCGUUUCUUCUUUUUGUGUGGAUGGACUAGAAAUCUGUGGCCCAGCAGUCUGUUUUUCUCCCUCCUGCUCCUGUAGAUAUACCCUUACGAGCUGCUUCUGGUAACCACAAGGGGGAGAAACCGCUUGCCCAAAGAUGUGGACAGGACUAGGCUGGAGCGCCACCUGUCGCCAGAGGAGUUUUACCAGGUGUUUGGCAUGACCAUCGCUGAAUUCGAUCGCCUGGCAUUGUGGAAGAGGAACGAGCUGAAGAAGCAGGCCCGGCUAUUUUAAACAAACGAACAAACACCGUACAUUAUAAAUAAAUAUAUAUAUAUAUGUAUAUACAUACCUAUAAAUAUAUACAUAUAUAUAAUUAUAUUAUAUAUAUCUAUAUAUAGAAAGAUCUCUAUAUUGAAACUCUGUAUAACUCUUUUUGUUGUACAGUGGGAGCCCUGGCUGCUUUCUUUGGAAGCCUGUAGCGUGAACUGAAGACUCACAGAUAUUUUUAUGCUCUCUCUUUUAUGCUCUUUCCUUUAUUCCUUUCUCUCUUUUUUUAAUGUAGCUGUUCUUCGGGGGGAGUUUUUUCGAGGGGGCAGGGAGGAGGCGGGGUCCUGUUUUUAUAUUGAACUCUCUUUUUCUUACAUGAAUGUCAGGCAGUCUUGGGCAUUAUAGCAUCACACACACACACACACACACACACACACACACACACGUCUCUUGAUCCCAAGUCCAGGCCAAGGAAGGAGGUGGUCCUGGAGCACAGGCCUUGCAAUGAGUCGACUUCCUCUCUUGUCCUCUUGUGCCCAGCGCUUGGCAUACGGACAUCGGAAGUGCCCUGCUGGAUCAAGCUGAGGGUUUGUCCCAGGGAUGGGGAUACUGCAGCCCUCCAGGUGCCAUAGACUACAACUCCCAUCAUCCCUGACCACUGGCCAUGCUGCCCGAGUCUGAUGGGAGUUGGGAGUCCAGCAACAUCUGCAAGGCCACAGAUUCUCCACCCUGUCGAGCCUCGUGUUUCCAAUG
RNA transcript from Podarcis raffonei (Aeolian wall lizard), 3590 nucleotides. It is a transcript of the gene named actin binding LIM protein family member 3, with no coding region annotated. NCBI's taxonomy places the organism in Eukaryota, Metazoa, Chordata, Lepidosauria, Squamata, Lacertidae. The transcript has 23 exons. The record is from RefSeq and is a predicted model, not a curated record.